AAUAGUAAAAAAUUAAAUAAUUUAAUUAAUUAACUGCCGAAAUUAACAAAUUAACGAGAAAUUAACGAUUGUUUACGAUCAAAACAUUGCCACCUCUUUUUACACCACAUUGAUUUGACAGUUCGACCGACGACGUUCGAAGCACGAUUGUUGUUGUUGUGUUUGGUGUAAUUUUUUUGUCGCCAAAAAGUCGGUCUAACGGGAGAAUGCAUUCUCCCGGUGGUGGUCCAAUAACCAGGUGUGGUGGCUAUGAUCGUGACGGAGAGAUUACUCCGGUGGACAUUCCGACGGCGGAGGCACAACUCUGACCGUGAUGGCGGCGGCGGUGGCCGGUUCAUCGAUCGCAAGAAUAACUGAGGUGGUGACUAAAACAAUCGCGACGGCGAUGGCGGCGGUGGACACCCGGAUUGGCAGCAGCACCUGCAGCGGGAGCUGUCUUCCCAGGUGAGCGUUUGGUUGCGGAUCAAUAGCCACCCAAGGAAUGGUGGUGGCAGCCUUCCCGUCGGCGAGCCUGGUGCGCUUGGUGACGAUCACUUUAACUUUAAUUAUGUUCCGCAGCAGCACCACCACCAGUUACUGGUAGUAUCUGGAACAAUGGCCCUCGAGCGGUUCAAGAGAUUUUCGUGAUAUCCGUCAGCCGGAGAACGACAUCUGGCAGGAGCCCCCGGCCAAGGAGGGUGGAGGUGACGGUGAAUAAAGAGGCCAAUGCGUAUUGGUGGACGCUGGAAUGCCUGCGGCGGAAGAGGCGCAGCUAUGAUUUUAAACAGCUUUGAGCGGAUGGGAAGUGAAUUGUUUCAACACGGUAAUACCGAUAUCAAUUACAUCAAGUACGAAGAUAUUCCCGUGGAGGCGAUUAGCGAGAACGUUCCAUCCCACAUAAACACUUUCGAUGACGAUGAAUUUUAAGCUGGCAAAAUACGACGUGUUUACGCCGGUCCAGAAGAACGCCAUUCCGAUUGUCAUGAGCGAAUGCGAUGUGAUGGCCUGCCCCCGGACAGUUCCGGAAAGACUGUCGCGUUCCUGGUCCAGAUCCUUUAUAAAAAAAAUACAAGCAUGGCGUCACUCCGCCGCCCUAGAAUCGUCCCUUCAAUAGUCGCAAACAGUACCCACUGAGACUUGAGCUGGCUCCGACCAGAUGCGCGAGUUGAACCGUGGUUGUAACCUGGACAACAUUCGCUUCCUCGUGCUAGACGAGGUUGAUAGUAUUUUGGAGUGCUAAUAAUAAAAUUGUGAAAAAAAAAAUGCUUAGAAAUAUAAACUAAAGUCUAAAAGAACUUGUAUUCAUUUAUCACAUUCGGAAAACUAAUUUCACUUUUAACAGAAGUUUUUUCGCAAAAAAAAUCGUUGUUGAAGUAAGGUGUGAUGUGGUGCUGCUGCAUCCACUGUUGUCCCGUUCGCUCUCAGAUUCGCGUACACGUCGUACUCCUCGGCGCGAUUCAGCUUGCCACGUUGGUGCUGCAUCUGCUGCUGGUUCUGUUGGUUUUUGUGCUGCUGCUGAUCUUGCUGCUGAUUGCGAUUCUGACCCUGCUGCUGCCGU
Culex pipiens pallens (northern house mosquito) is the source of this 1537-nucleotide RNA transcript. RefSeq lists it as uncharacterized. The transcript has 2 exons. The record is from RefSeq and is a predicted model, not a curated record. NCBI's taxonomy places the organism in Eukaryota, Metazoa, Arthropoda, Insecta, Diptera, Culicidae.